RNAcentral lists this long non-coding RNA (225 nucleotides) under Gossypium raimondii (Peruvian cotton). RNAcentral describes it as "long non-coding RNA (GRAI_LNC002356)". The record is from RNAcentral. Lineage: Eukaryota; Viridiplantae; Streptophyta; Magnoliopsida; Malvales; Malvaceae.
GGGGGGAUUUUGAUUGAGUUUACAUAUCGGGGGGGAUUUUGAUUGUGUUUAUUACAUAUUAUUCUUUGCAACAAAAAGAGUGAUUGAGCCCGACUAAAGCGAGUGAGUGAAAGGCGUGGCAAGAGAGCGAGUUCAACUCGUGAACGAUCAGCAAGUGAAGGAAGAAAAUCAUGAUUGUUCUGUUUUUUUUUUAGUUCUUUUGCGGAUUAAUGUGAUUUUCUUUUC